RNAcentral lists this ribosomal RNA (370 nucleotides) under uncultured organism. Its description in RNAcentral is "bacterial SSU rRNA". It matches the Rfam family "Bacterial small subunit ribosomal RNA", at positions 528 to 896 of the family's 1533-position model. The record is from RNAcentral.
GAGGGUGCAAGCGUUGUUCGGAAUUAUUGGGCGUAAAGCGCGUGUAGGCGGCUUUGCAAGUCGGGUGUGAAAGCCCUCAGCUCAACUGAGGAAGUGCGCCCGAAACUGCAGAGCUUGAGUACCGGAGAGGAUGGCGGAAUUCCCCAAGUAGAGGUGAAAUUCGUAGAUAUGGGGAGGAACACCGGUGGCGAAGGCGGCCAUCUGGACGGAUACUGACGCUGAGACGCGAAAGCGUGGGUAGCAAACAGGAUUAGAUACCCUGGUAGUCCACGCCGUAAACGAUGAGGACUAGGUGUCGUGGGUGUUGACCCCCGCGGUGCCGUAGCUAACGCAUUAAGUUCUCCGCCUGGGAAGUACGGCCGCAAGGCUA